This 497-nucleotide ribosomal RNA is filed under the name uncultured bacterium. RNAcentral describes it as "partial 16S ribosomal RNA". It matches the Rfam family "Bacterial small subunit ribosomal RNA", at positions 28 to 507 of the family's 1533-position model. The record is from RNAcentral.
GAUGAACGCUGGCGGCGUGCCUAAUACAUGCAAGUCGAGCGAACAGACGAGGAGCUUGCUCCUCUGACGUUAGCGGCGGACGGGUGAGUAACACGUGGAUAACCUACCUAUAAGACUGGGAUAACUUCGGGAAACCGGAGCUAAUACCGGAUAAUAUAUUGAACCGCAUGGUUCAAUAGUGAAAGACGGUUUUGCUGUCACUUAUAGAUGGAUCCGCGCCGCAUUAGCUAGUUGGUAAGGUAACGGCUUACCAAGGCGACGAUGCGUAGCCGACCUGAGAGGGUGACCGGCCACACUGGAACUGAGACACGGUCCAGACUCCUACGGGAGGCAGCAGUAGGGAAUCUUCCGCAAUGGGCGAAAGCCUGACGGAGCAACGCCGCGUGAGUGAUGAAGGUCUUCGGAUCGUAAAACUCUGUUAUUAGGGAAGAACAAAUGUGUAAGUAACUAUGCACGUCUUGACGGUACCUAAUCAGAAAGCCACGGCUAACUACGUG